UUCCGUUCCGGACUGGCCGGGGAAGUCACCGCCUGGUGCCUCCCCGCCAGCCUCCGAACAGGUCUUUUUCGAAGCCCCGCCGGUUCUACGCCGGGGUGCUCUUUACCGAGUGUCUCGUGCGGCCGGCAAGUUUACCUUGAAUAAAUAAGAGUGCUCAAGGCAGGCUACUCUUCAAACCUAUGCCCGAAAGAUAACUGCAUGGAAUAAUGAAAGAUGAUCUCGGUCUCAUUUCUGAUUGGCUCUGGGGACCGAGAUAAUGAUUAGAAGAGACUGUCGGGGGCAUCCGUACUACGACGCGAGAGGUGAAAUUCUAUGACCGUCGUAGGACGAACAACAGCGAAAGCAUUUGCCAAGAAUGUCUUCAUUGAUCAAGAACGAAAGUUAGAGGAUCGAAGGCGAUCAGAUACCGCCCUAGUUCUAACCCUAAACGAUGCUGACUAGCAAUCCGCCGUCGUUAUUCCCAUGACGUGGCGGGCCGCUCCCGGGAAACCUCAAGUCUUUGAGUUCCGGGGGUAGUAUGGUUGCAAAACUGAAACUUAAAGGAAUUGACGGAAGGGCACCACCAGGAGUGGAGCCUGCGGCUUAAUUUGACUCAACACGGGAAACCUCACCAGGCCCAGACACUAGCAGGAUUGACAGAUUAAGAGCUCUUUCUCGAUUUGGUGGGUGGUGGUGCAUGGCCGUUCUUAGUUGGUGGAGUGAUUUGUCUGGUUAAUUCCGGUAACGAACGAGACUCUGGCCUACUAAAUAGUCGACGUGGUGGCAUGGCCACGGUCGAAACUAUCUUCUUA
This 791-nucleotide ribosomal RNA is filed under the name Halocaridina rubra (Hawaiian volcano shrimp). RNAcentral describes it as "bacterial SSU rRNA". It matches the Rfam family "Eukaryotic small subunit ribosomal RNA", at positions 723 to 1413 of the family's 1831-position model. The record is from RNAcentral. Lineage: Eukaryota; Metazoa; Arthropoda; Malacostraca; Decapoda; Atyidae.